AGUACAGACGAGUUUGAUCAUGGCUCAGAACGAACGCUGGCGGCAUGCCUAACACAUGCAAGUCGAACGAACCCUUCGGGGUUAGUGGCGCACGGGUGCGUAACGCGUGGGAACCUGCCUUUAGGUUCGGAAUAACAGUUAGAAAUGACUGCUAAUACCGGAUGAUGUCUUCGGACCAAAGAUUUAUCGCCUUUAGAUGGGCCCGCGUUGGAUUAGCUAGUUGGUGGGGUAAAGGCCUACCAAGGCGACGAUCCAUAGCUGGUCUGAGAGGAUGAUCAGCCACACUGGGACUGAGACACGGCCCAGACUCCUACGGGAGGCAGCAGUGGGGAAUAUUGGACAAUGGGCGAAAGCCUGAUCCAGCAAUGCCGCGUGAGUGAUGAAGGCCUUAGGGUUGUAAAGCUCUUUUACCAGGGAUGAUAAUGACAGUACCUGGAGAAUAAGCUCCGGCUAACUCCGUG
RNAcentral lists this ribosomal RNA (461 nucleotides) under uncultured bacterium. RNAcentral describes it as "bacterial SSU rRNA". It matches the Rfam family "Bacterial small subunit ribosomal RNA", at positions 1 to 507 of the family's 1533-position model. The record is from RNAcentral.